UGCAGUCGAGCGCACUCUUCGGAGUGAGCGGCGGACGGGUUAGUAACGCGUGGGAACGUACCCUUAUCUACGGAAUAGCCUCUGGAAACUGAGGGUAAUACCGUAUACGCCCUUCGGGGGAAAGAUUUAUCGGAUUUGGAUCGGCCCGCGUUAGAUUAGAUAGUUGGUGAGGUAACGGCUCACCAAGGCUACGAUCUAUAGCUGGUUUUAGAGGAUGAUCAGCCACACUGGGACUGAGACACGGCCCAGACUCCUACGGGAGGCAGCAGUGGGGAAUCUUGGACAAUGGGCGCAAGCCUGAUCCAGCCAUGCCGCGUGAGUGAUGAAGGCCUUAGGGUCGUAAAGCUCUUUCGCCAGAGAUGAUAAUGACAGUAUCUGGUAAAGAAACCCCGGCUAACUCCGUGCCAGCAGCCGCGGUAAUACGGAGGGGGUUAGCGUUGUUCGGAAUUACUGGGCGUAAAGCGCGCGUAGGCGGACCAGAAAGUUAGGGGUGAAAUCCCGGGGCUCAACCCCGGAACUGCCUCUAAAACUCCUGAUCUUGAGUUCGAGAGAGGUGAGUGGAAUUCCGAGUGUAGAGGUGAAAUUCGUAGAUAUUCGGAGGAACACCAGUGGCGAAGGCGGCUCA
Molecule: ribosomal RNA, 625 nt
Filed under: uncultured bacterium
Lineage: Bacteria
Description: bacterial SSU rRNA
Rfam family: Bacterial small subunit ribosomal RNA
Source: RNAcentral